GGCAAACAUAUUUCUUAUCCAACCCCACUUCCACAACUAAACACCACCAAUGUCAGCUCCUUCAUACUUGUCCUAGAUCACUGAAAAAAAAUCAAGAAAACACCCUUUUCUCCAAAGAAACUACAGAACCAACUAAUUACAUCAAAACUAAAACAGAUCUUCAAAUUCCCAAGUAAAAUCUUGAAACCCUAAAGGAAAAAAGCACAGUAAAUCAAGCAGCUUUUUUGGUACAGAUCUUUCUUUCUCUUUUUUUUUU
Molecule: unclassified non-coding RNA, 256 nt
Filed under: Hevea brasiliensis (rubber tree)
Lineage: Eukaryota; Viridiplantae; Streptophyta; Magnoliopsida; Malpighiales; Euphorbiaceae
Source: RNAcentral